GGCAGUUCUCGGGUGACACACCCUGGAAUAAGACUCCUUCCUCUCUGGUUCUGUGUGCAUCACCCGAGAACCGCA
Myotis lucifugus (little brown bat) is the source of this 75-nucleotide non-coding RNA. NCBI's taxonomy places the organism in Eukaryota, Metazoa, Chordata, Mammalia, Chiroptera, Vespertilionidae. The record is from Rfam.